Molecule: ribosomal RNA, 468 nt
Filed under: uncultured bacterium
Lineage: Bacteria
Description: partial 16S ribosomal RNA
Rfam family: Bacterial small subunit ribosomal RNA
Source: RNAcentral
GAUGAACGCUGGCGGCGUGCUUAACACAUGCAAGUCGAACGGAAAGGCCCUGCUUUUGUGGGGUGCUCGAGUGGCGAACGGGUGAGUAACACGUGAGUAACCUGCCCUUGACUUUGGGAUAACUUCAGGAAACUGGGGCUAAUACCGGAUAGGAGCUCCUGCUGCAUGGUGGGGGUUGGAGAGUUUCGGCGGUUGGGGAUGGACUCGCGGCUUAUCAGCUUGUUGGUGGGGUAGUGGCUUACCAAGGCUUUGACGGGUAGCCGGCCUGAGAGGGUGACCGGCCACAUUGGGACUGAGAUACGGCCCAGACUCCUACGGGAGGCAGCAGUGGGGAAUAUUGCACAAUGGGCGGAAGCCUGAUGCAGCGACGCCGCGUGCGGGAUGACGGCCUUCGGGUUGUAAACCGCUUUCGCCUGUGACGAAGCGUGAGUGACGGUAAUGGGUAAAGAAGCACCGGCUAACUACGUG